GUAGGGAAUAUUGGACAAUGGGCGAAAGCCUGAUCCAGCCAUGCCGCGUGAUAGAUGAAGGCCCUCUGGGUUGUAAAUAUCUUUUAUCUGGGAAGAAACUCCUCUAUUCUUAGAGGCCUGACGGUACCAGAGGAAUAAGCACCGGCUAACUCCGUGCCAGCAGCCGCGGUAAUACGGAGGGUGCAAGCGUUAUCCGGAUUCACUGGGUUUAAAGGGUGCGUAGGCGGGUUGAUAAGUCAGUGGUGAAAGCUCCGGGCUUAACUUGGAAACUGCCAUUGAUACUGUCAAUCUUGAAUGUCGUAGAGGUAAGCGGAAUGUUGCAUGUAGCGGUGAAAUGCUUAGAUAUGUUACAGAACACCAAUUGCGAAGGCAGCUUACUAUGCGAUAAUUGACGCUGAGGCACGAAAGCGUGGGGAGCAAACAGGAUUAGAAACCCGUGUAGUCC
Molecule: ribosomal RNA, 445 nt
Filed under: uncultured bacterium
Lineage: Bacteria
Description: bacterial SSU rRNA
Rfam family: Bacterial small subunit ribosomal RNA
Source: RNAcentral